AGAGUUUGAUCCUGGCUCAGAACGAACGCUGGCGGCAGGCCUAACACAUGCAAGUCGAACGCUGUAGCAAUACAGAGUGGCAGACGGGUGAGUAACACGUGGGAAUCUUCCUAUCGGUACGGAAUAGCUCAGGGAAACUUGGGGUAAUACCGCAUACGCCCUUCGGGGGAAAGAUUUAUCGCCGAUAGAUGAGCCCGCGUCUGAUUAGCUAGUUGGUGAGGUAAUGGCUCACCAAGGCGACGAUCAGUAGCUGGUCUGAGAGGAUGACCAGCCACACUGGGACUGAGACACGGCCCAGACUCCUACGGGAGGCAGCAGUGGGGAAUAUUGGACAAUGGGCGCAAGCCUGAUCCAGCCAUGCCGCGUGAGUGACGAAGGUCUUCGGAUUGUAAAGCUCUUUUGGCGGGGACGAUAAUGACGGUACCCGCAGAAUAAGCCCCGGCUAACUUCGUGCCAGCAGCCGCGGUAAUA
Molecule: ribosomal RNA, 471 nt
Filed under: bacterium enrichment culture clone DWBac19
Lineage: Bacteria
Description: bacterial SSU rRNA
Rfam family: Bacterial small subunit ribosomal RNA
Source: RNAcentral